AAACAAAACCAAAAAAACAAAAAACCAUACAAAAAAAUGUUUUUAAUAAAAAUAUAUAGACCAAAAAAAAAAGAUAACAAAUUCCAUUGCUUUCGGCUGAUCAGAAAAUGGGGGUUUUCCAGAAAUUUCGCUGGCUAAAGGAAUCCACUUUGUGUUUAUAUAGGGCGUGGGCAUGAAAAAGAAAGCAAAUAUAUUUGCAUACGUUUAAGUAGAAAAAGCUUUUCAAAAAGCGCGCUGCAAGUUCUUCGGCGCUGACCCAUGAUUUUUUGAAAACAUCUAGAACAGUCUCGAAGGCAGCCAAGCAUUCGGCAAGCCUGCGCUAUGGAAUACAACAAUAUUUACAUAGUUAGGCACCCAAAUAGCUACUGGCUCCUUAUUUACAUAAGAGAACAAAUGCAAUAAUUGAUUUUUUGGAUCGUUUCCUUUAAAGUUCAAAGCUGGCGACAGUGUGGCAGUGCCUGCCAAAGAAAACACCACGAUAAAUCUACAUACGGCGUUAUGCAGCACUGCACUGGUCUGGCUGCUCUGCGCUGUUAUUGCUGUUGACAUGGCCUAUCGCGGUAUCGUGCUGUGAUAGUCGAUAGUCGUGCGUGUAUAUCGCUGGCUGUCAGCACUAGCAAAAGCAUUUUUGCUGGAGUCUAACCAUUUUAUUUUAGUUAAUAAAAACACAUAUUUCCUCUUUUUUUCGUUGUACGCAAAAAACAGACAUCAAACGCAAUAAAAAUCUGAAUAAAUAAAACAUGCGAGCAAGGCCAAGCGAGAGAGGAGAAAUAUAUAGAAACAAAAACCAUAAAAAAAAAAAAAAAAAGAAAAGUAAUUAAAAAAAAAAAAAAAACCAACAAACAAAACUGCAAAUAAAUGUUUGCAUUGUAAGCCGUAAUAAUUAUAAACGAUAACUUAUAUUUAAUUUUUUGAAUUACAUCAAUAAAUAUGUUGAAAUUAAAAUUAAA
Long non-coding RNA from Drosophila mojavensis, 950 nucleotides. RefSeq lists it as uncharacterized. The record is from RefSeq and is a predicted model, not a curated record. NCBI's taxonomy places the organism in Eukaryota, Metazoa, Arthropoda, Insecta, Diptera, Drosophilidae. The transcript has 2 exons.